UACGUACUCCUUCCGUUCGGAAUUACUUGUCACGGAAAUGAAUGUAUCUAGACAUAUUUUAGUUCUAGAUAUAUUCAUUUCUGAGACAAGUAGUUCUGAACGGAGGGAGUAGAUG
Molecule: non-coding RNA, 115 nt
Organism: Triticum urartu
Lineage: Eukaryota; Viridiplantae; Streptophyta; Magnoliopsida; Poales; Poaceae
Source: Rfam